CCUACGGGGGGCUGCAGUGAGGAAUAUUGGACAAUGGGGGAAACCCUGAUCCAGCCAUGCCGCGUGAGUGAAGAAGGCCUUCGGGUUGUAAAGCUCUUUUAGAUGUGACGAUAAUGACGGUAGCAUCAGAAAAAGCCCCGGCUAAACUCGUGCCAGCAGCCGCGGUAAUACGAGUGGGGCAAGCGUUGUUCGGAAUCACUGGGCGUAAAGGGUGCGCAGGCGGUCAUGCAAGUCAGAAGUGAAAUCCCUGGGCUUAACCCAGGAAUUGCUUUUGA
This 275-nucleotide ribosomal RNA is filed under the name uncultured bacterium. RNAcentral's name for it is "partial 16S ribosomal RNA". It matches the Rfam family "Bacterial small subunit ribosomal RNA", at positions 338 to 630 of the family's 1533-position model. The record is from RNAcentral.